GACGGAGGGUGCAAGCGUUGUUCGGAAUCACUGGGCGUAAAGCGCGUGUAGGCGGUUGAAUAAGUCGGAUGUGAAAGCCCGGAGCUUAACUCCGGAAGUGCAUUCGAAACUGUUCGGCUCGAGUACGGGAGAGGGAAGUGGAAUUCCUGGUGUAGAGGUGAAAUUCGUAGAUAUCAGGAGGAACACCGGUGGCGAAGGCGGCUUCCUGGACCGAUACUGACGCUGAGACGCGAAAGCGUGGGGAGCAAACAGG
This 253-nucleotide ribosomal RNA is filed under the name uncultured bacterium. Its description in RNAcentral is "partial 16S ribosomal RNA". It matches the Rfam family "Bacterial small subunit ribosomal RNA", at positions 524 to 776 of the family's 1533-position model. The record is from RNAcentral.